UAUUUACUGCAAGAACAAUCUCUAUUAAGUUUUUUACUUUAUGUAUAUAUUUGACCACCACAUGAUGUUUCCUUUCGCUUUAAAAUCUUGUACACAACAAAGAUUUCCUUCAAUAUAAGAAUAUCAGAUCUAAUUCCUAUCUGCUAUCUUUAUAAGAUGAUCCUUAUGCAAAUUGAAAUGUCUUGUAUGAUAACCGAUUUGUUUUGUUUCCUACCCAGUGUCUAGGUGAAAGAAAUUCAGAAUCCAGACAUUAUGUUUUAAACGAUUAAUUUUCUUGGUAUUUGUUUGGAUGAAGUUGGACUUGUACGUUGUGACUUUAAUGAAUUCAACAUAAUGGGUUUUGAAGUUAACAAAGUACAUUCUAUGAAUGGUGGAGCUACAACAGAAAGAACAAUAGAUUUGGUGCAGCUAGAAACACCAGUGUUGCAGUUCAGAUUUUAAAAAUUGCUGCAAAACAUGCUACAUGGUAGUUAGCUGCAAAAUGAAUGACAUUCUUCAGUUUUCUUUCUCUCAUGUUACUUCUUGUGGGUUAAAUUCUAAACUAUAUGAAGAUUGUUAAGUUUUUUGUUGUAAGGUUUGUAAAAAAAUUGAAUUACUGUUGAAAUUUUUAUAUCUUAAAGUGGUUGAAUUUGUACAUUGAA
Long non-coding RNA from Papaver somniferum (opium poppy), 641 nucleotides. RefSeq lists it as uncharacterized. The transcript has 2 exons. NCBI's taxonomy places the organism in Eukaryota, Viridiplantae, Streptophyta, Magnoliopsida, Ranunculales, Papaveraceae. The record is from RefSeq and is a predicted model, not a curated record.